RNA transcript from Triticum aestivum (bread wheat), 2321 nucleotides. It is a transcript of the gene named zealexin A1 synthase-like, with no coding region annotated. The record is from RefSeq and is a predicted model, not a curated record. The transcript has 4 exons. Lineage: Eukaryota; Viridiplantae; Streptophyta; Magnoliopsida; Poales; Poaceae.
AUGGAAGAGUGGUCGUUAAGCCUGUGUUGCAUAGCCCUAUCCACGGUGCUUGCCCUUUGGUUUCUCAAGCUCAAUGGCGGAACGAAAAAGCUCAAGAAGCAGCAGCUACCUCCUGGGCCAUGGACUCUCCCGAUCAUCGGCAGCCUCCACCACGUCGUCAGCCUCCUCCCACACCGCAGGAUGAUGGACAUGUCUCGCCGGCACGGCCCGCUGAUGCACCUCAUGCUCGGCGAGGUCCCCACCGUGAUCGUCUCCAGCGCCGAGGCCGCGGAGCUGGUGAUGAAGACCAACGACCUCGCGUUCGCAACCCGGCCGGGGACCCCGACGCAGGACGUCUUCGGGUGCGGCGGCAAGGACAUCGUCUUCGCGCCCUACGGCGAGCACUGGCGCCAGAUGCGCAAGGUGUGCGUCCUGGAGUUCCUCAGCUCCAGGCAGGUGAAGCGCAUGGAGGGCAUCAGGGCAGAGGAGGUGGGCAACCUCCUCCGCUCGAUCACCGCAGCCGCCUCGACCGGCGCGGCCGCCAUUAACUUCAGUCGGGAGGUGGCGGCGCUGAGCAACGACGUGGUGACGCGGGCGGUUUUCGGCGGCAAGUUUGCGCAGCAGGGCGAGUACAUUCGUGAGUUGGGCAGAGCGUUAGAGCUGAUGGGCGGCUCCUGUCUCGUCGACCUCUUCCCGUCGUCGCGGUUGGCGCGGUGGUUGAGCAAUGGCGACCGCAGCAUAAAGAAGAGCUCCGCGUGCAUCAAGCGCAUCAUUUCAGGCAUCAUUGAGGAGCGGCAGGCCGCGCGAGCUGCUCCAAGCGAUGGUGCCUGCAGCAGCACCAACGACGAGAACUUCCUGGACGUGCUGCUCAGGCUUCAGCAGGACGACUCUUUGGAAAUCCCUCUAACCACAGACGCUAUAGGCGCCGUCUUGUCUGACAUGUUUGCAGGUGGCACCGAAACAAUAGCAACCACCUUGGCGUGGGCGAUGUCGGAGCUCGUGCGCAGCCCAGAAAUUAUGGCCAAGGCACAGCAAGAAGUACGGGAGGUGCUAGGUGAAGGUCGGGCUGUCAUUACUAAUAGUGAUCUCGCUAAACUCCGCUACCCAAAGUCGGUCAUCAAGGAGGUCCUUAGGUUGCAUCCGGCCUCUCCUCUGAUCCCGCGCGCGGCUAGAGAGGACUGUACAGUUAUGGGUUAUGACAUACCUAAAGGCACCAAUGUUUACAUUAACGUCUUUGCGAUAUCUCAAGAUCCCCAAAACUGGAACAAUCCUGGAGAGUUUAAGCCAGAGAGAUUUGAGGACACCCAAGUGAACUUCAAUGGAACAUACUUCGAAUUCAUUCCCUUCGGGGCCGGGCGACGGCAAUGCACCGGGAUUCAGUUUACCUUGUCACUUGCGGAGAUGGCAUUAACAAACUUUUUGUAUCACUUUGACUGGAAGCUUCCUGAUGCGUCUAGCCUCGCUUCAUUUGACAUGUCCGAGAAAUUUGGGAUUACAGUAAGCAGAAGGUAUGACCUGAAACUCAGAGCUAUUCCACACGACAUAUUUGCAGGUGCCACGUCGACCAUAGGAACUACCUUGACGUGGGCUAUGUCAGAGCUUGUGCGCAGUCCUGAAACUAUGGCCAAGGCACAACAAGAAGUCCGAGAGGUUCUUGGCCAAGACCGAGCUGUCAUUACUAAUAGCGACCUCGCUAAACCCGACUACAUGCAGAUGAUCAUCAAGGAAACCCUUAGGUUCCAUCCGCCUGCUUCUCUAGUUCUUCGCGCGUCCAUAGAGGAUUGUACUAUCAUGGGUUAUGACAUCCCCAAAGGCACCAAUGUAAACAUUAACGUCUUCGCAAUUUCUCGAGAUCGAAUUCACUCCCUUUGGUGCUGGGCGACGACAAUGCCCUGCGAUUCAGUUUAGCUCGUCGGUCUUGGAGAUGACAUUGACAAAUAUUCUGUAUCACUUCAACUGGAAGCUUCCUGGUGGUGCUAGCCCGAUUUCGCUUGACAUGUCCGAGAAAUUUGGGCUUGCAGUAAGCAAAAAGUAUGAUCUGAAACUUGAAGCUACUCCACACUUGUGGUUCAAAGCUAUGCGGUCAAAGUGACAGAGAAAGCUUGCAUAUUCAUGUGGCUAUGCAAGUUAACAUACCUACAUUUUCAGGACAUGUCAAUGAUGUCAUUAUUGAAGUGUAUGGUUGUACCUUUAUGCAAUACAAUAAGAGAAGCUCAUUGCAAACAUCAUGUCCUCGUAUCAAUAAUAAGAGAAGAUCUUACGUUACAUGAUCAUGUAGAACAUGACUGUAUUAGUUCUGUAUGUUCUUAUGAACUUUUGAAUAAUGCAUCUACUAUUAUUAA